GACGAACGCUGGCGGCGUGCUUAACACAUGCAAGUCGUACGGUAAGGCCCUUUCUGGGGUGCACGCGCGGCUAACGAGUGAGUAACACACGCGUGACCAGCCCACAACUUUGGUAUAACGACCGGCAGCUGGUGGUAACACAUGCUAUGUGCUCCUGCCGCAUGGUUGGGGUUGGUAGGCUCCGGCGGUUGUGGAUGGACUCGCGGCCUAUCAGCUAGUUGGUUGGGUAGUGGGCUACCUAGGCGGCGACGGGUGGCCGGCCUGGGAGGGUGAACGGCCACAUUGGGAAGGAGAUACGGCCCAGACUCCUACGGGAGGCAGCAGGGGGGGAUUUUGCACAAUGGGCGGGAGCCUGAUGCAGCAACGCCGGGGGCGGGAUGACGGCCUUCGGGUUGGAAACCGGUUUCAGCAGGGACGAAGCUUUGUGUGACGGUACCUGCAGAAGAAGCACCGGCUAACUACGUG
Molecule: ribosomal RNA, 465 nt
Filed under: uncultured bacterium
Lineage: Bacteria
Description: partial 16S ribosomal RNA
Rfam family: Bacterial small subunit ribosomal RNA
Source: RNAcentral